UGAUUAAAAGGGGAAAGUUCAGUUUAGGGUUUAAAACCCUAAUCCUGAUUAAAAGGGAAAAGUUCAGUUUAGGGUUUAAAGCCCUAAUGCUGACUAAAGGGAAAAAGUUCAGUUUAGGGUUUAAAACCCUAAUGCUGACUAAAGGGAAAAGUUCAGUUUAGGGUUUAAAACCCUAAUACUGACUAAAGGAAAAAGUUCAGUUUAGGGUUUAAAACCCUAAUGCUGACUAAACGGAAAAAGUUCAGUUUAGGGUUUAAAACCCUAAUGCUGACUAAAGGAAAGAGUUUAGUUUAGGGUUUAAAACCCUAAUGCUGACUAAAGGAAAAAGUUCAGUUUAGGGUUUAAAACCCUAAUGCUGACUAAAAGAAAAAGUUCACUUUAGGGUUUAAAACCCUAAUACUAACU
Molecule: long non-coding RNA, 405 nt
Filed under: Nicotiana tabacum (common tobacco)
Lineage: Eukaryota; Viridiplantae; Streptophyta; Magnoliopsida; Solanales; Solanaceae
Description: long non-coding RNA (NTAB_LNC011377)
Source: RNAcentral